Molecule: small RNA, 124 nt
Filed under: Marmota monax (woodchuck)
Lineage: Eukaryota; Metazoa; Chordata; Mammalia; Rodentia; Sciuridae
Source: RNAcentral
GCCAGGCAUGGUGGCACAUGCCUGUAAUCCCAGUGGCUGGGGGACUGAGGCAGGAGGAUCAGGAGUUCAAAGCCAGCCUCAGCAAAAGUGAGGCACUAAGCAACUCAAUGAGACCUUGUCUCUA